RNAcentral lists this transfer RNA (69 nucleotides) under Phocoena spinipinnis (Burmeister's porpoise). RNAcentral describes it as "tRNA-Trp". The record is from RNAcentral. Lineage: Eukaryota; Metazoa; Chordata; Mammalia; Artiodactyla; Phocoenidae.
AGGGGUUUAGGUUAAAUCAGACCAAGAGCCUUCAAAGCCCUAAGCAAGUAUAACCUUACUUAACCCCUG